This 389-nucleotide ribosomal RNA is filed under the name uncultured bacterium. RNAcentral describes it as "bacterial SSU rRNA". It matches the Rfam family "Bacterial small subunit ribosomal RNA", at positions 27 to 418 of the family's 1533-position model. The record is from RNAcentral.
GGACGAACGCUGGCGGCGUGCUUAACACAUGCAAGUCGAGCGGUAAGGCCCUUUCGGGGGUACACGAGCGGCGAACGGGUGAGUAACACGUGGGUGACCUGCCCUCAGCUCUGGGAUAAGCCUGGGAAACCGGGUCUAAUACCGGAUAUGACUCCAUGACGCAUGUUGUGGGGUGGAAAGCCUUGUGCGGCUGAGGAUGGGCCCGCGGCCUAUCAGCUUGUUGGUGGGGUGAUGGCCACCAAGGCGACGACGGGUAGCCGGCCUGAGAGGGCGACCGGCCACACUGGGACUGAGACACGGCCCAGACUCCUACGGGAGGCAGCAGUGGGGAAUCUUGCGCAAUGGGCGAAAGCCUGACGCAGCGACGCCGCGUGAGGGAUGACGGCCUC